RNAcentral lists this long non-coding RNA (205 nucleotides) under Physcomitrium patens. Its description in RNAcentral is "long non-coding RNA (PPAT_LNC004773)". Lineage: Eukaryota; Viridiplantae; Streptophyta; Bryopsida; Funariales; Funariaceae. The record is from RNAcentral.
UCUGAUCUUCUUUUUUAUAAUAUCAAGAAUCCUUCUUCUAAGUCCUAAGAUACUUCUAAAUUUAAGUUCAAAAAUAACCUAUUCUAUUUCAAAAGUCAAUUAAAUGUUCUAAAAGAAGAAGCAUGAUUACGUGUUCUUCAAGCUUGUCAUGACUUUCUAGGAGCAGGAUAUUUUAGAUACAUGAAUUUAGAGCUUAUAUCUAGAG